CCUACGGGAGGCAGCAGUGGGGGAUAUUGCACAAUGGGGGGAACCCUGAUGCAGCGACGCCGCGUGGGUGAAGAAGCGCCUCGGCGCGUAAAGCCCUGUCAGCAGGGAAGAAAAUGACGGUACCUGAAGAAGAAGCCCCGGCUAACUACGUGCCAGCAGCCGCGGUAAUACGGAGGGUGCGAGCGUUAAUCGGAAUUACUGGGCGUAAAGCGCUCGUAGGCGGUAUGUCAAGUCAAGGGUGAAAUCCCCGCGCUCAACGUGGGAACUGCCUUUGAAACUGGCAAACUGGAGUGUGUGAGAGGAUAGUGGAAUUCCAGGUGUAGGAGUGAAAUCCGUAGAUAUCUGGAGGAACAUCAGUGGCGAAGGCGACUAUCUGGCACAUAACUGACGCUGAGGAGCGAAAGCGUGGGUAGCAAACAGGAUUAGAUACCCCAGUAGUC
Molecule: ribosomal RNA, 440 nt
Filed under: uncultured bacterium
Lineage: Bacteria
Description: partial 16S ribosomal RNA
Rfam family: Bacterial small subunit ribosomal RNA
Source: RNAcentral